CCUACGGGAUGCAGCAGUAGGGAAUAUUGCUCAAUGGGGGAAACCCUGAAGCAGCAACGCCGCGUGGAGGAUGAAGGUUUUCGGAUUGUAAACUCCUUUUGUUAGAGAAGAUAAUGACGGUAUCUAACGAAUAAGCACCGGCUAACUCCGUGCCAGCAGCCGCGGUAAUACGGAGGGUGCAAGCGUUACUCGGAAUUACUGGGCGUAAAGCGCGCGUAGGCGGGAUAGCAAGUCAGAUGUGAAAUCCUAUGGCUUAACCAUAGAACUGCAUUUGAAACUGUUAUUCUAGAGUAUGGGAGAGGUAGGUGGAAUUCUUGGUGUAGGGGUAAAAUCCGUAGAGAUCAAGAGGAAUACUCAUUGCGAAGGCGACCUGCUAGAACAUAACUGACGCUGAUGCGCGAAAGCGUGGGGAGCAAACAGGAUUAGAUACCCCAGUAGUC
RNAcentral lists this ribosomal RNA (440 nucleotides) under uncultured bacterium. RNAcentral describes it as "partial 16S ribosomal RNA". It matches the Rfam family "Bacterial small subunit ribosomal RNA", at positions 338 to 795 of the family's 1533-position model. The record is from RNAcentral.